CACAUCAAAAUAUAUAGAAUGACUAUUAAUCUUAUACUCCCCAAAGGGGCCCACGAAAAUAAUGAGGGACUUUCUCUUAGAUGGAUGAGUUUUCACUUUGCAAUUAAAAAAAGGUAAGGAGGCCCUUCAUCAUACUUUUAUUUAGGGGAAAAGGGGUGUCAUGAAAGAACUUAAGGCUAUUACUAAUUAAUAACACAAAAUUACAAAGCAGAAAAUAAAUCAAACUUUCAUUGACCAUGCAGAUUUCAAGCAGCUUCAUUGAUUAGACCUUAAUAAUGAUAAGAUUUCCUGGAAAUAGAUAAGAACCUUUAUAAUAGGUUUAGAUAUUUAUAUGUAUUAUUAUUACUUGCAUGAUUGUUUUUGAAACAGUAUAAAUUAAAUAUUUUAGCAAGUAGACUGUUAGUGAAAAUAAUACUACAUUUUGCAAUUAUUUAACCUCUAUUGCAGACUAUUAAAAAUAUGCCUUGUUUGCUAGCCUAAGAGAAAUUUUAUCAUAUAAGAUAAUUUAAUUCCAGAGAUUCUCUUUGUUCUAGAAUAAACAACUUUAUUACAAGAAGUCUCAAAUAUGCUGGACUAGAUUGGUGCCUCUAUAAUGGACUUGUUCGCUCUGUCUCUAUUUCAAAGCAAUUUUUAUAUUAAAUUUUAAUUAUUUGUUUAAAUGUGUCUCUUCCCCACCAAGUUAUUCAUUUUAUGAGGAUAGGCAGUGUACCUUUUUUUCUGAUCUUUUUGAUACUUAGCAUAUAGCAUGAUAUAUAUAUAUAUAUUUUUAUUAUUCAAAUGAAUUUAUCACAUCUGUAGUUGUAUAAUGGUCAUAACAAUCCAGUUUCACAGUAUUUCCAUCCCACAACCCAAGCAUAUCCCCACACCCCCCAAACUGUCUCCUCUGGAGAACAUAAGUUUUUUAAUGUCUGUGAGUCGGCAUCUGUUCUGCAAAGAAGUUCAGACAGUCCUUUUUUCAGAUUCCACAUGUCAGUGAAAGCAUUUGAUGUUGGUGCCUCAUUGUCUGACUGACUUCACUUAGCAUGAUAAUUUCUAGGUCCAUCCAUGUUGCUAAAAAUGCCAUUAUUUCAUUCCUUUUAAUGGUUGAGUAAUAUUCCAUCGUGUAUUGAAUAUAAUAGUAAUAUAAGGCAAAGGUUGAUAAAGUUUGACAUUAUAUAUAUAAAAAGUGGUAGAUGAGAACAAAUUUCUUAACCAUCUAAUCUGGGUGUGCAAAAAAGUAUGAAACUAAUAAUUACAAAUGUGAAAUUGCUGUAGUCUAUUUAAUUAAAAUAUUCUGUUCCUUGCAAUUUCUUAACAUUUCCUAGUUUCCUUUCAUUGUUAAUCUUCCUGUUCAAGUAUCAAUUCAAAUGUUAUAUCCUCAGAGAGGACAUCUCUGACUACUCUCUCUGUAUUUCAAUAUCCCAUUUAUUAUUUUACAGAUCUUAGCACAAAAAUAUAGUCAUCUUGUAUACUGGUUUACUAUUUCACUCUCAUUAAUUUAAAUUCAGUACAGGAAGACAUCUUGCCAAUUUUCACCAUUGUAUCCUCAACAUUUAGCAGAAUGCCUGACAGUUAAUGAAGGAAUGAAUGGAUGGAUGGAUGGGUAUGCAAAUACAUAUAUAUGUCACAUCAAGCUUAAUAAAACAAUGUAUAUGAUAACAUGGAAAAAGUAAGGAAAAUAAGAUGUAACUAUUGUAUUUGCCACAAAAUUAUUCCUGGUAUAUUUUCAAUUGUGAAUCCCUGAUCUUCUGCUUGAGUCCAAAAUUUGUCAAAUCCAUCUUUUGGUAAUGUAAGAUUAUAUACUAUUCUAAAGCUAGAUAUUUUAAAAAAUCAACCUCUAGUUUGAUAGCUUAGGCUUUGGUGCUUUAAAGCCUACUCCUUGCUAUAAUACAGAAUUUACCAUUUACUCUCUUACUUGUUUAGAAAUUAAACUAAGCAAACUUCCUUAGUCAGUUUCAAGAUGUAAGGAAUAUUAUUUAUAUAUAUGUAAGAACAUUUAACUUAGCAUUAGAGCUUAAGAUUUAUCAGAACAAUGUAUUAAAUCUGACAGUCAGUUACCCUAAAAUGGAUAACUGCUAUUUAUAAUGUUAAAAGCAGGCCAUCCAAAGAUGUGCAACCCUGGCAGGGGAUUAUUUUCUAAAAACAAGCAAGGCCUCAAAGACACAGAAAGAAGCUUUGAACUUUUCCCUUAUGGCCUGGAAGAAUUUAAGCCAGGAAGCCUAUCCCAGAAAGAAAGUUAUCACCAUAGAUAACUAUGAUGAACUAUGAAUUAAGUGUGGUGGACAGGGAGGAUCCGAGAAAAGUCUAUUUGAUCAGUGUCCUCUCUGUGUCCUAAUGUCUUUGGUAUCCCAGCAAAUAUUUGAUUGCCAAACAUUCAUUAACUCUUUUUAUUUUCCUGUGAAUUACCUUACUUCCCCUUAAGCAUUUCUGCCUCAUUCUCCUUAGUCCAGAAUAUAUAUACACACACACACACAUACACACACACAGAGAGACAUAUACAUAUAUAGACAUAUAUAUAUACUUCAUGUGCAUAUAUAAUAAUAAAUUUAAUAAAUUUGAUUUUUCUCUUGUCAAUCUGACUUAUAUCAUUUCAAUUGCCAGGCAAAAGCACUAAGAGAAUAAAGAUGGUAAAUUCUCGCCCCAAUAUUAUUCUUUGAAACAAAUUUGCUGUAUUCUUACAUAGUCACAAGAUUUUUUAAAUAGGUAAAACAGCAUUUAUUUUAAAUAAUGAAUUUUUCCCAUGUGUGUAAUACUUUAUAUAACCACACUUAUUGUCAGGAUUCUGGCAAGAAAUAAAUGAGUAGUAUAAAGGUGUUUAAUAAAAAGGGGCCUCAUUUGAAAUGUGUGGACAAAGGGUUUAGAGAAGCAGAAAGUGGUAAUACAAGCUGACAUCAAAAGUCUUGGCCAUCACAGAGGUCAGCCUCCUAGGACAGAGCAAUGCAGAGAAGUACAGAAAAUGGAGUAGGAUGGAUAUAUGGACAAAUUGGGGCACAGCGUGAUAUAAUGCACAUGUAAAUGACUUCUGAGAAUGCUUGAUUUUGAUACCAAAGCUUUAUAAAUUUUGAGAAAAAUUUAGUAGUUUUACAGUUUCUCUCUCCUCCCCCACCCACACACACCUACACAUGGGAAAAUACAUUGUAUCUAAAAGGAAAAUUGAGUCAGGGCAUUCCUAUACACAUCUGCUUCUGCUUACAUCUUUAAUUUUUGAGCACAUUAAAUAUAAUAAUAUAAACUAAGCUCAAAAUCAUAUUGUCUGAAAUCUUGUAAUCAAAGAGAUAACUUAGAUUUGUCUUACAAAGAAAGAGAUAAAUGCUAAAAAGAAUUUGAGAGCUUUUCUACCUAAAAAUAAAUAUGACUUGAGAAGUCCUUCCUACAUAGUGAGUUCCUUGAUUCACUUUUUUCUUAGUAUGUUACAUGUGCAAUAUGAGUGUCAGGUAUGCAUUUGGGGAGUUUUAACCUAGAGGUACAGUAAAAGUAUAUAAGAGGAGUUAUAUAGAGUAUCUUAAGAUCACAGUGGUUUCAAAGUAAUUUUUAGCCCCUUAUAGCUAGGAGGUUACCACAUUUUGUCCCUCUUUGUAUAGGGCUGUCUGGCUGUUGAAGAUGCUUUCUACAUAAUGAAUCUUAUCAAGUUCAAAUCUGUGGAAUUCUCUCCAGCUUUUAAAUAAUUUUUCAUAUAAUGGGAUAAAAUGAGAGUAAUAAUAAUAAUGCACAUUUGACCAUCUUGAGUAAAAUGUGUGGGAGCACAGCCUUCAUAUAAUGGAAAAAUAGAGAAUAAGAUGAGCUCAAAUCAGCAAAACUCUGAGUGCAAAGGAAGUUACUCAAGUUUUCUUCUCUUUUCCUUCCUUCCUUCUUUUCUUCUUUCCUUGUUCCUUCCUUUCUUCUCUUUCCUUCCCUCCUCUCUCUCUCUCCCUCAUUCCUUCUCCCUUUCCUUCUUCUCAAACAGAAUAUCUUAUCUUUUCAAUAGACACUGCCCUGAAGGCCUCUAGGACAAUAAAAUAGAUUCACUUUGAAAUAUACAUCCUAAUGGAAUAUUUGACAUGGAAAUGCAAAUCAAGCCCACACCAGGUAUUUGGCCAUGAUAGAGAGUUCAGAUUAAUUAAUUUCAUUACAUAAAGCUAUUAAUCAGCACCUAUUUUAUAGUCACAUGUUAAAUAGUUAACACUUGUGAAAUGAGUCUAAUAUUUUUAAUAUUUCAACUGACAUAUUUUUACUUCUUCUUAAAUCAUCUUUUUACCAACCUCUAAGGUUGAACCACAAAACUUAUCCACAAAAAGGGAAUAAGGGAGUAUGCGCCAUUAAGAAUAAAGAGGUCAAAUAAUAGCUUUGACUAAAAUUUACCUCCCCUCAUAAAACUGGGCAAAAAAAAAUAGCCUUUGUUAAGGGAGAGAAAAUAGAUUUCUCAGUUUCACUCACUUUUAACAAGUCAAGAACCAGGUAUGGUGAACUAACUAGAUUUACAAGAGCUUAGACAUUUCUUUCAUCAUGCACUGAAACUAUGCCUUCCACUACUAAUUAUGAACCAUGAAACUUGGUGGCUCCAGUGAAAAAGGAAGAAUAUGGAGUGAGAGGAAUCCUUACUUCAAAGGGAAAAUAUGGAGGGGAAGCCCACACUUUCCCUUUUGGAUGCCACAUGGAAGGAAAAGGAAGAAAAACAAAGGAGAGAAAGCUAACAAUGAGAUACUUAUGCCUUUGUCUCCUCUCUCUGCCCAUGAAGGACAUGGCUUAGGUUAGGGAGAAGUAAAAGGGAAAUUGAUCUUUUGUUAGACAUUGCCCUAUAGAGGACUUCCUAGUCCUGCUUAUGUUAAUCCAUACCCUAGAACCAACUUGGGCAUUCAGCAGAGGUCUGAAACAGAGUAAUAACUGCAUCAUAGCAUGGUUAGACAAGGAUUCUGAUUGGGUAUUCAUGGGACAUACUUGAUUUGUGGAAGGAUGAUAAGGGUUGGAGAAGACAGAGAUGAAGAGAUUCCCUCAUGCCUUCAAGGUGAGUCAGAGAAUUCAGCUGUUUGCUUCUCUGGUCUAUUGGGAAGGAUUUUACCCUAUAUCUAAGGCUAACCAGAGUUAAGGGUGUGGAAAAAAUUUAAAUUUUAUGGCAAGACAAGAAAAAGUUAAAUAUAAAUUCUUCUAGGCCCUUUGGCCUCUUCUCUCCCCCUAGCAUUCCAAGUUCCCAUUGUGGCUCAGCGGAAAUGAAUAUGACUAGCAUCCAUGAGGAUGCAGGUUCAAUCCCUGGCCUUGCUCAGUGGGUUAUGGGUCCAGAAUUUCCCUGAGCUAUGAUGUAGUUUACAGAUGUAGCUCAGAUCAGGCCUUGCUGUGGCUGUGGUAUAGGCCAGCAGCUGUAGCUCAGAUUUAACCCCUAUUCUGGGAACCUC
This 5345-nucleotide long non-coding RNA is filed under the name Sus scrofa (pig). RNAcentral's name for it is "lncRNA (ENSSSCG00000041298.1)". Lineage: Eukaryota; Metazoa; Chordata; Mammalia; Artiodactyla; Suidae. The record is from RNAcentral.